This 465-nucleotide ribosomal RNA is filed under the name uncultured bacterium. RNAcentral describes it as "bacterial SSU rRNA". It matches the Rfam family "Bacterial small subunit ribosomal RNA", at positions 338 to 795 of the family's 1533-position model. The record is from RNAcentral.
CCUACGGGCGGCACCAGUGGGGAAUAUUGCACAAUGGGCGCAAGCCUGAUGCAGCCAUGCCGCGUGUAUGAAGAAGGCCUUCGGGUUGUAAAGUACUUUCAGCGGGGAGGAAGGCGAUAAGGUUAAUAACCUUGUCGAUUGAUGUUACCCGCAGAAGAAGCACCGGCUAACUCCGUGCCAGCAGCCGCGGUAAUACGGAGGGUGCAAGCGUUAAUCGGAAUUACUGGGCGUAAAGCGCACGCAGGCGGUCUGUCAAGUCGGAUGUGAAAUCCCCGGGCUCAACCUGGGAACUGCAUUCGAAACUGGCAGGCUAGAGUCUUGUAGAGGGGGGUAGAAUUCCAGGUGUAGCGGUGAAAUGCGUAGAGAUCUGGAGGAAUACCGGUGGCGAAGGCGGCCCCCUGGACAAAGACUGACGCUCAGGUGCGAAAGCGUGGGGAGCAAACAGGAUUAGAUACCCCAGUAGUC